UUCCUUGGGUGUGUAUGUGCAUGUGUGCAUGCAUACACACACACACACACACACACACACACACACACACACACACAUA
This 79-nucleotide microRNA precursor is filed under the name Notamacropus eugenii (tammar wallaby). RNAcentral's name for it is "miRNA (ENSMEUG00000017072.1)". The record is from RNAcentral. Lineage: Eukaryota; Metazoa; Chordata; Mammalia; Diprotodontia; Macropodidae.